Molecule: ribosomal RNA, 440 nt
Filed under: uncultured bacterium
Lineage: Bacteria
Description: partial 16S ribosomal RNA
Rfam family: Bacterial small subunit ribosomal RNA
Source: RNAcentral
CCUACGGGUGGCAGCAGUGGGGAAUAUUGCACAAUGGGGGAAACCCUGAUGCAGCGACGCCGCGUGAAGGAAGAAGUAUUUCGGUAUGUAAACUUCUAUCAGCAGGGAAGAAAAUGACGGUACCUGACUAAGAAGCCCCGGCUAACUACGUGCCAGCAGCCGCGGUAAUACGUAGGGGGCAAGCGUUAUCCGGAUUUACUGGGUGUAAAGGGAGCGUAGGCGGUUCAGCAAGUCAGAAGUGAAAGCCCGGGGCUCAACUCCGGGACUGCUUUUGAAACUGUUGGACUAGAGUGCAGGAGAGGUAAGUGGAAUUCCUAGUGUAGCGGUGAAAUGCGUAGAUAUUAGGAGGAACACCAGUGGCGAAGGCGGCUUACUGGACUGUAAAUGACGCUGAGGCUCGAAAGCGUGGGGAGCAAACAGGAUUAGAUACCCUAGUAGUC